CUCAAUUAUUCUUCUUCUCUUUUUUCCUUUUUAUUUAUUUAUUUAUUUUUAUACAUUUUAUUGCCUUUUCUGCUUGAUGAAAACAUCUGCUAUAAUGACAAAAAUAAAAAAAGAAUUAAAAAAAUAAAUUGAGUCGAGAUUUAAUAUCAAUUUUGGGGUUGACUUGAUUGUUCUUUAAGUUGGUGCUCAUUUGGUUUCAUUUUGUUUAACGUCAUUGGGGUGGUUUUUGCUGAUGGGGUACAACAGAUCAAGAAAAUUCCUAAUCAAGCUCUUGCUCUGUCCAAUUUUCCAUUUCAACUAUGCAUGAAAUGCAGUUUAUUAUUUAUUUGAAUUCAUUGGAGUACAAUGUCAAUGGGGCUUUGUGAGGUGAGACUUGGUAUUAGUGAGUGUAUUCAAAAUUACGAGGGAAUUGUGAGUGAGUGGAUUUAUAGGCCGAUAUGGUCUUGAUUUGUUCACCUGUUGCAUAAUCCCAGAAACAUUACAACAGUCAUUUUUAAUUCUUUAUUCAAAAUUUUUGUGCAUUAGUCUUCUAAAUAAAUUCCCAGUCAUUAACAGAUGUCAAAAAGCAUAAAGAAGUCAUUAAGUUGGAACAUUGGAUUUACUUUUUUAUAGAAUUUUGGAGUUAUAACCUAUCUUAUUGUGCUCUACUUCUCUUCCACUGCAUUCUUUGAUGCAUUCUUUAUUGAUCUUGUGAUGCUUUUAUUUUGCUACAUUCGACAGGUUGGGCUAUCUGCUUCCAACCCAAAUGCAUCUCUUCAAGUAUUGGACCAUCCAAUUCUAAAUCUUAUCGAUUACAUGGUAAAUUGCUUCUAUCAAGUUUGCCAACCUUUUCUUCCCUAGUUUUGUGUUCUCAUAUAGUUGAUGCAAAAACAGCUGGUCGAGAUUCUUCCUUCAGCACUAGUGCUGUACAUCUUGCGCAAGCUGCCUCCCAAAAUUAUGGUAUGAAGAAGAUGAUGCAUUACUGUAAUUUCUCGUGUAAUGUCAACAAAGCACAGCAGAAGAUAUGAUGAAGUUUAGUUGAUCAAAGAUGCUAGCAUAUUGGGUUCCAAAAUCGAUAAGUCUUUGGACCGUUGCCUAAAAUUUCCACCAAAAAAAUAUAUAAACAUAUAUUGAAGGUGAAGGAGAUAGGAACGGUGAAGAAGAGUAGAUUAUAAGAACCACUAAUAUACGUAAAUUUGUAUUUUUGCUGUAGAGAGAGAAGAUGUUCACAAAAAGAGAAGAUCGGCAACACAGAUUCUAGAAAAGGAUUAUUCUGUUCGUCUCGGGAUUAAAUCCUGGGAAUGCAUCCAGGGCUAAGGUGGCCCGAACUGGAUCAAAUCCCUGUCCCCUUCCCCUGUAUUCGUAGCAGAGCCCUUCUAGAAAAUUGUGUUGCACUUUCAAUUUUCAUUUUAGGGUUUGUUAAUGAUUAAUGUGUGUUUUGGGCCUUUUGACCCAUUAAUGUUAAAUAAAUAUAUUUAUUUAUUAUUUUAAUUCCGAGUCGACUCUGGUUCAACCUCGAUUCAACCAUUUGACCUUUUAACUUUUUCGGGUCAAUGAUUUGAUCGAUUUUCAAAACAUUGAUAUUAAUUGAUGAGAGGC
RNAcentral lists this long non-coding RNA (1578 nucleotides) under Olea europaea subsp. europaea. Lineage: Eukaryota; Viridiplantae; Streptophyta; Magnoliopsida; Lamiales; Oleaceae. The record is from RNAcentral.